Trichoplusia ni (cabbage looper) is the source of this 537-nucleotide long non-coding RNA. RefSeq lists it as uncharacterized. The record is from RefSeq and is a predicted model, not a curated record. The transcript has 2 exons. Lineage: Eukaryota; Metazoa; Arthropoda; Insecta; Lepidoptera; Noctuidae.
AAAAAAGUUAUAAUUUCAAAAUUACUUAUUGUACAAUUAACACUCUCUUCAAUACAAUAAAAGAGGUUGAUUGCAAAUAAUGGAGAAGCAUGCAGUGCCCAACAUGCCCAAUACACAGCAAGUAUUAGAAGAUAUAUUAAAUAACGAGCUUGAGGAAUUUUCUACAGAUUUUGAUGUUUUUCAUGAUGAUUACUCCGAAUUACGGAAUGCCUAUGAAUGUUACCGAAAUUUCAAACAGCUACAGGAAAAUGUCAUAGAACAAGAUGGACUGAAUUCUAAGAUAAUUCAAUUAAAUGAAAAGUUAGCUGAAAAUGUAGCUAAUAUGAAAAAACAAAAAUAGAAGAUGAAGCAAGAAUAGUUUUUUCUUUAUUAAAGAUAUUGAUAUUGAUUUGAUAUCAUGGCACAAAUAUAUAAUGACACACAAUCACAUAGUCAUCAAAGAACAUGAAAGAGGUAUUAGAAGUACACUAUUAAUUGAUACAAGCUAUUGAUUAAAAAUAUAUUUAUUCUUAAGUUAAUAUAAUAAAUAAGGCAAAA